UUUCACCAGUUUCUUUUCACGAAUACCGAGAGAAACCGAGCUGCGUUCUUCGUGUUCUUCGUAAUCAAACGAAGAUUUGAAGGUGUUAUUGGAAUCCGAUGGAGGCGUAUGAAUAGUCAAAACGAAGCUAUCGACGCGUAGAAUCAAGUUUAAUCAUCCGUUUAUAUGCAGAUUCAACAGGUGAUUUUAGAUUAUUUUUCUAAAAUUCGAGUUUAUAUGAUUUAAAUGAUGAAUUUUUGCAAACGAUUCCGUUUAUGUGAUUUGAUGAUUCUAUGAUGUAGAGCAUGUUUUUCUCGUCGUUUUGGUAUAUUAUAUGUCAAAAACGGAGUUCAAUAACAUGUAGAAAAGUCAGUUUGAUUAUUGAAACUGUGUUCUUGGUGUUCUUGAGCUUGUUGCCGGAAAAGUUUGAAUUUUGGCCGGAAAAUGGGUUCCGCUAAAUCUGGGCAGUAGUGGUAUAUAUGAAUAGAAAGAGGAGAGAAAGGGGAGUAUGCUGGUGUGCUUGGUUUGAGCGGAGGUGGCUCGAAUCGCCGCCAUCGGCGGCGGGAAGUCGCCGACUUCGGCCGGAUUUUCCGGCGAAUUCGCGCGACUUCUGCCUAAUUAAAGAUGGGGGAUUGAUUUAUGGGUGUGUGUACUACUGAUCUGGAGUAGAUGGUGAGUGGAGGACGCCUGGAAACGAAUUUCCGGCGAGUUAGUGUGGUGGCCGGCGGCUUAUUGCUGUUUGGUCACCGAAGUUUUGAAGAUGAUGAAGUUUUUGUACUCAGGUUUUGAAACUUGUGAAUUACCCCCUGUAACUUUGAAAAAUUGCACUUUAAACCCUGGACAAAACUUUCAAAAGUUUACACUUUAAACCUUUGAUUUUAAUUUUCAAAAAUUGUUUUAUUUAAUUAUUUUAAUUUCAAUAAAAUGCUUUUUAAUUAUUUCUUUAUUCAAAAAUAAAUCUAAAUUAGUUUGUUAAUUAAUUUUAAUUAGUAAUUAAUUAUUUAAUUGGUCAAUUAAUUUAAAUAUUAAUUGAUUAAUUAUUUUAAUUAAUUAUUAAUUGAUUUUAAUUGAUUAAUUAAUUGGAUUUAAUUAAUCCUUUUUGAUUUAAAAAUUCCGAAAAAUAGUUUCGAGCUUUAAAAUAUUUUUCCAAAUUAUUUUCAAGGCUCGAUAAUUGUUUAUGAAUGAUUUCAAGUCCAAUUUCAAGUAUUUGGGACUUGAUUAUUUAUCCGAAAAGUGAUUCUUUUAUCCAUUUUAAUUCCGAAAAAUGUUUAAAAAUUCCAGAAAAUUCCCGAAAAAUCAUUUUUAACCCAAGAGUUGAUUUGAUAUCAAUUGGGGUGGGAAACCUUAUGUGUAAUGUGUUGUCUGCUAUCGGUGUAAGGUAUUAUAUAUUGAGAGCGGAGUCAGAAAACGGUUUUGGUCAUAACUUUUGAUCCGUAAGUCGGAAUCAAGUGAAACGAAAAAGAGAUUAAAGCUUAUAAAGUCUAUUUUAAUGUGACAUAAUAAUAUGAUGGAGUCGAGAAUGUGAAUAAUUGUUGUUAAAUGUGCAAAAUGUGAUUAUAUGUUAUUGGAUUGUUAUUAAUUGAUGAUUACGUGAUAUAUAUGUCUAUUCCUGAUUUUAUAUACGUGAUAAAUGACUUAUAUGACAUAGUGUCAUGAUUUGAUUAAUAUUGGGUAAGGACAUAUGGAUUAUAGGAAUUGGAAUUGGUUGAUUGGUUGUUGGACAAAAUAGGAUAACAUGUGGAUAGUCCUACAAAUAGACGAGACGCUGUCAAAUUAUCGAUAGGAUUUAUAUGAUAUUUAAUUGAUAAUAUGUUAUGUGGAAUAUGACUUGACUAUAUGGUAGAGUCAAAGCAUGAUUAUGUGUUAAGUGAUAUGUGAUAAGUUUAAAGGGGUAUAUAAGUGGGUAUCGAUAUACGUGGUAUGUAUAUGCGAUAUAUUGUUUAGUGACUAUAGUAUUAUCUUAUUCUCGUUAAGGAUUUGGACGAGACGUGGAUGGCCGAAGACGUUCAGAAGGACAAGUGGUGUUCCAAAGCGAAUAAAGAAUGAGUCGAGUAAGCGAAGCGAUGUGGCGAAUAGAGUAUAGCUAGAGAUGGUCUAGAGAUUAUGAGUUGCAUAGAUUGUGAAAGUGGAAAGAUGAGAAUGAG
This 2123-nucleotide long non-coding RNA is filed under the name Daucus carota (carrot). Its description in RNAcentral is "long non-coding RNA (DCAR_LNC005564)". The record is from RNAcentral. Lineage: Eukaryota; Viridiplantae; Streptophyta; Magnoliopsida; Apiales; Apiaceae.